AUUACCAGCCUAUUUUUCAUUCAAUGACCAUCUCCUCAUUCCUCUCCUUGUAUAAUUGCCUGUCCUUAUCUUUCCCUCAGGAUCUCUGGUUUCUUUCAAGGCACCUCAAAGGCCAGUUUUUAUAGGACCUGUGGCCAAGUCCCCCAGCUACUAAUAUUUUCCUUUCUAAGGUUAUCUUCCAUUCACUCUGCAGAUAUUUUCCAUGUACCAUGCUUGUGUUGUCUCCCACAAGUUCCUUGAAAGGAGAAACUUCUGUAUUUUCUGGGAUCUUGGGUUGGUGACUUGCCUCUUGGAGGUUGCUUUUGACUGGGACUUUGGCUCUUGGACUGCUUCUUGGAGGACUGCUUCUGGAUCUUCUCCUUUGGACUUUAGUGUUGGAGGACUUUGCCUUGGGUGAGUGAGUAGCUGAAGAUACCACUGGAUAUGGAGAAAUGCCUGGUGAGUCUGAGCCUCACUUCACUAGAGAAGGACUAGUAGGCUUAUUAAAACCCAUCUCUUUAGCUACCUUUUUUCAUUUUUAUUCUUUCUACCUCUGUAAAUAAAGCUACUAAAGUAAUUUUUUUUUACUUAAGU
This 573-nucleotide long non-coding RNA is filed under the name Monodelphis domestica (gray short-tailed opossum). Its description in RNAcentral is "lncRNA (ENSMODG00000043731.1)". The record is from RNAcentral. Lineage: Eukaryota; Metazoa; Chordata; Mammalia; Didelphimorphia; Didelphidae.